AACGCGAAGAACCUUACCUACCCUUGACAUGUCUAGAAGUUGCCAGAGAUGGCUUCGUGCUCGAAAGAGAACUAGAACACAGGUGCUGCAUGGCCGUCGUCAGCUCGUGUCGUGAGAUGUUGGGUUAAGUCCCGCAACGAGCGCAACCCUUAUCAUUAGUUGCUACGCAAGGGCACUCUAAUGAGACUGCCGGUGACAAACCGGAGGAAGGUGGGGAUGACGUCAGGUCAUCAUGGCCCUUAUGGGUAGGGCUACACACGUCAUACAAUGGCCGGUACAGAGGGCUGCCAACCCGCGAGGGGGAGCUAAUCUCAGAAAACCGGUCGUAGUCCGGAUCGCAGUCUGCAACUCGACUGCGUGAAGUCGGAAUCGCUAGUAAUCGCGGAUCAGCUUGCCGCGGUGAAUACGUUCCCGGGCCUUGUACACACCGUGUCGA
This 436-nucleotide ribosomal RNA is filed under the name uncultured bacterium. RNAcentral describes it as "bacterial SSU rRNA". It matches the Rfam family "Bacterial small subunit ribosomal RNA", at positions 958 to 1400 of the family's 1533-position model. The record is from RNAcentral.